AAUCGAAAACCAAGCCUCUCACAUUCACCUUAAUAUUAUUAAACUAAACCAUUUACUUAUUGAUAGUAUGGGCGACAGAAAACUUAUAAGCGCAAUAAAUAAAGUACUGCAAAGGAAAGAUGAAAUAGAAAUUAAAUAAACCAUAAAAAUACAAUAAAGCAAUGAUUAAUACCUGUACCUUUUGCAUCAUGGUCUAGCAAGUCAAACCUUACAAAAAGAAUUUAGCAAGAUCCCCCGAAACCAAGCGAGCUACCUUUGGGCAACACAUAUGAACAACCCGUCUCUGUGGCAAAAGAGUGGGAAGACCCAUAGGUAGAGGCAAUAAACCUAACGAGCCUGGAUAUAGCUGGUUGCUUGAGAAAGAAUUUAAGUUCACAUAAAAGCAAACAUAACAAUAAGAAAAAUAUAAGCUUUUAUUUUAAUCAAUCGAGUUACAGCUCGAUUAAUAAGGGAAACAUCCCAAAUAAAUGAAUAAGGAUUAUAUUAUUUAAGAAAAAUUUGAGCCCAGUAGGCCUAAAAGCAGCCACCUAAACAGCGUUAAAGCUUAACUCAAACUACAUCUACCAUCUCAAUAAAAAAUCUUAAUUCAACAUAAUAAUCAAGCCAAUCUAUUUAUAGAUGAACUACUACUAGAAUGAGUAAUAAGGACAUAUCCUCUACAAUACAGGUGUAAAUCAGAACGAACAAUCGCUGAUAAUUAAUGAAUAUAUUUACAAAAACAAGAACUUAAUAAUAAAAACCAUUAAACCAACACAGGAGUAUUUAAGAAAGACUUAAAACUUAGAAAGGAACUCGGCAAACCCAGGCUUCGCCUGUUUACCAAAAACAUCGCCUUUUGAACUAUUAAUAUAAAAGGUCCUGCCUGCCCAGUGACAUCUGUUUCAACGGCCGCGGUAUCAUGACCGUGCAAAGGUAGCGUAAUCACUUGUCUUUUAAAUAAAGACCAGUAUGAAUGGCAAGACGAAAGCCUAACUGUCUCUCUAAGUUAAUCAAUAAAAUUGAUCUUUCCGUGCAGAAGCGGGAAUAAUAAUAUAAGACGAGAAGACCCUGUGGAGCUUUAAACUUAAGUUAACAAAAUAUAAAUGUACUAACACCAAGUUUUAGGUUGGGGCGACCAUGAGGUAAAACACAACCCUCAAGAUAAAAACUAAGAAGGACACUUCAAAUAAUAUUAUUACACUUGACCCAAUAAUUGAUCAACGAACCAAGUUACCCCAGGGAUAACAGCGCAAUCUACUCAAAGAGCCCCUAUCGACGAGCAGGUUUACGACCUCGAUGUUGGAUCAGGACCCCCAAAUAAUGCAACAGUUAUUAAAGGUUCGUUUGUUCAACGAUUAAAGUCCUACGUGAUCUGAGUUCAGACCGGAGCAAUCCAGGUCAGUUUCUAUCUAUAACCUAACUUUUCCAGUACGAAAGGACCGAAAAAUUAAAGCCCAUAAACAAUUAAGCCUUAAAAAUAACCUCUGAGCACAAAUAAAGAGAAUAGAUAAAUAUUAGU
This 1498-nucleotide ribosomal RNA is filed under the name Pseudoeurycea werleri (Werler's false brook salamander). RNAcentral's name for it is "16S ribosomal RNA". It matches the Rfam family "Bacterial large subunit ribosomal RNA", at positions 377 to 2817 of the family's 2925-position model. Lineage: Eukaryota; Metazoa; Chordata; Amphibia; Caudata; Plethodontidae. The record is from RNAcentral.